This 450-nucleotide ribosomal RNA is filed under the name uncultured bacterium. RNAcentral describes it as "partial 16S ribosomal RNA". It matches the Rfam family "Bacterial small subunit ribosomal RNA", at positions 354 to 796 of the family's 1533-position model. The record is from RNAcentral.
GUGGGGAAUAUUCCGCAAUGGACGAAAGUCUGACGGAGCAACGCCGCGUGAGUGAUGAAGGUUUUCGGACUGUAAAGCUCUGUUGUUUAGGACGAAAGUGCCUGUUGCGAAUAGUUACAGGUAUUGACGGUACUGAACGAGGAAGCCACGGCUAACUACGUGCCAGCAGCCGCGGUAAUACGUAGGUGGCAAGCGUUGUCCGGAAUUAUUGGGCGUAAAGAGCAUGUAGGCGGGAAUCUAAGUCUGUUGUGAAAAUGCGGGGCUCAACCCCGUAUUGCGAUGGAAACUGGGUUGCUUGAGUGCAGGAGAGGAAAGGGGAAUUCCCAGUGUAGCGGUGAAAUGCGUAGAUAUUGGGAGGAACACCAGUGGCGAAGGCGCCUUUCUGGACUGUGUCUGACGCUGAGAUGCGAAAGCCAGGGUAGCGAACGGGAUUAGAAACCCGAGUAGUCC